RNAcentral lists this ribosomal RNA (492 nucleotides) under uncultured bacterium. RNAcentral describes it as "partial 16S ribosomal RNA". It matches the Rfam family "Bacterial small subunit ribosomal RNA", at positions 28 to 507 of the family's 1533-position model. The record is from RNAcentral.
GAUGAACGCUAGCUACAGGCUUAACACAUGCAAGUCGAGGGGAAACGGCAUCGAAAGCUUGCUUUUGAUGGGCGUCGACCGGCGCACGGGUGAGUAACGCGUAUCCAACCUGCCCAUCACUUGGGAAUAACCUUGCGAAAGUAAGACUAAUGCCCAAUGACAUCCCACGAAGGCAUCCGAAUGGGAUUAAAGAUUUAUCGGUGAUGGAUGGGGAUGCGUCUGAUUAGCUUGUUGGCGGGGUGACGGCCCACCAAGGCAACGAUCAGUAGGGGUUCUGAGAGGAAGGUCCCCCACAUUGGAACUGAGACACGGUCCAAACUCCUACGGGAGGCAGCAGUGAGGAAUAUUGGUCAAGGGGCGAGAGCCUGAACCAGCCAAGUAGCGUGCAGGAGGACGGCCCUAUGGGUUGUAAACUGCUUUUAGAAGGGAAUAAAGUGGGUCACGUGUGACUUUUUGCAUGUACCUUAUGAAUAAGGACCGGCUAAUUCCGUG